Molecule: ribosomal RNA, 1444 nt
Filed under: uncultured Enterobacteriaceae bacterium
Lineage: Bacteria; Pseudomonadati; Pseudomonadota; Gammaproteobacteria; Enterobacterales; Enterobacteriaceae
Description: bacterial SSU rRNA
Rfam family: Bacterial small subunit ribosomal RNA
Source: RNAcentral
UAACACAUGCAAGUCGAACGGUAGCACAGAGGAGCUUGCUCCUUGGGUGACGAGUGGCGGACGGGUGAGUAAUGUCUGGGAAACUGCCCGAUGGAGGGGGAUAACUACUGGAAACGGUAGCUAAUACCGCAUAACGUCGCAAGACCAAAGAGGGGGACCUUCGGGCCUCUUGCCAUCGGAUGUGCCCAGAUGGGAUUAGCUAGUAGGUGGGGUAACGGCUCACCUAGGCGACGAUCCCUAGCUGGUCUGAGAGGAUGACCAGCCACACUGGAACUGAGACACGGUCCAGACUCCUACGGGAGGCAGCAGUGGGGAAUAUUGCACAAUGGGCGCAAGCCUGAUGCAGCCAUGCCGCGCGUAUCAAGAAGGCCUUCGGGUUGUAAAGUACUUUCAGCGAGGAGGAAGGUGUAGAGGUUAAUAACCUCAGCAAUUGACGUUACUCGCAGAAGAAGCACCGGCUAACUCCGUGCCAGCAGCCGCGGUAAUACGGAGGGUGCAAGCGUUAAUCGGAAUUACUGGGCGUAAAGCGCACGCAGGCGGUCUGUCAAGUCGGAUGUGAAAUCCCCGGGCUCAACCUGGGAACUGCAUCCGAAACUGGCAGGCUAGAGUCUUGUAGAGGGGGGUAGAAUUCCAGGUGUAGCGGUGAAAUGCGUAGAGAUCUGGAGGAAUACCGGUGGCGAAGGCGGCCCCCUGGACAAAGACUGACGCUCAGGUGCGAAAGGGUGGGGAGCAAACAGGAUUAGAUACCCUGGUAGUCCACGCCGUAAACGAUGUCGACUUGGAGGUUGUGCCCUUGAGGCGUGGCUUCCGGAGCUAACGCGUUAAGUCGACCGCCUGGGGAGUACGGCCGCAAGGUUAAAACUCAAAUGAAUUGACGGGGGCCCCGCACAAGCGGUGGAGCAUGUGGUUUAAUUCGAUGCAACGCGAAGAACCUUACCUACUCUUGACAUCCACGGAACUUGCCAGAGAUGGCUUGGUGCCUUCGGGAACCGUGAGACAGGUGCUGCAUGGCUGUCGUCAGCUCGUGUUGUGAAAUGUUGGGUUAAGUCCCGCAACGAGCGCAACCCUUAUCCUUUGUUGCCAGCGGUCCGGCCGGGAACUCAAAGGAGACUGCCAGUGAUAAACUGGAGGAAGGUGGGGAUGACGUCAAGUCAUCAUGGCCCUUACGAGUAGGGCUACACACGUGCUACAAUGGCAUAUACAAAGAGAAGCGACCUCGCGAGAGCAAGCGGACCUCAUAAAGUAUGUCGUAGUCCGGAUUGGAGUCUGCAACUCGACUCCAUGAAGUCGGAAUCGCUAGUUAUCGUGGAUCAGAAUGCCACGGUGAAUACGUUCCCGGGCCUUGUACACACCGCCCGUCACACCAUGGGAGUGGGUUGCAAAAGAAGUAGGUAGCUUAACCUUCGGGAGGGCGCUUACCACUUUGUGAUUCAUGACUGAGGUG